RNAcentral lists this ribosomal RNA (541 nucleotides) under uncultured bacterium. RNAcentral describes it as "partial 16S ribosomal RNA". It matches the Rfam family "Bacterial small subunit ribosomal RNA", at positions 355 to 889 of the family's 1533-position model. The record is from RNAcentral.
UGGGGAAUUUUGGACAAUGGGGGAAACCCUGAUCCAGCCAUCCCGCGUGUGCGAUGAAGGCCUUCGGGUUGUAAAGCACUUUUGGCAGGAAAGAAACGUCGCGGGUUAAUACCCCGCGAAACUGACGGUACCUGCAGAAUAAGCACCGGCUAACUACGUGCCAGCAGCCGCGGUAAUACGUAGGGUGCAAGCGUUAAUCGGAAUUACUGGGCGUAAAGCGUGCGCAGGCGGUUCGGAAAGAAAGAUGUGAAAUCCCAGAGCUUAACUUUGGAACUGCAUUUUUAACUACCGGGCUAGAGUGUGUCAGAGGGAGGUGGAAUUCCGCGUGUAGCAGUGAAAUGCGUAGAUAUGCGGAGGAACACCGAUGGCGAAGGCAGCCUCCUGGGAUAACACUGACGCUCAUGCACGAAGGCGUGGGGAGCAAACAGGAUUAGAUACCCUGGUAGUCCACGCCCUAAACGAUGUCAACUAGCUGUUGGGGCCUUCGGGCCUUGGUAGCGCAGCUAACGCGUGAAGUUGACCGCCUGGGGAGUACGGUCGC